RNAcentral lists this ribosomal RNA (301 nucleotides) under uncultured bacterium. Its description in RNAcentral is "partial 16S ribosomal RNA". It matches the Rfam family "Bacterial small subunit ribosomal RNA", at positions 509 to 807 of the family's 1533-position model. The record is from RNAcentral.
CAGCAGCCGCGGGAAUACGUAGGGUGCAAGCGUUAAUCGGAAUUACUGGGCGUAAAGCGUGCGCGGGCGGUUUGUUAAGACAGAUGUGAAAUCCCCGGGCUUAACCUGGGAACUGCAUUUGUGACUGGCAAGCUAGAGUAUGGCAGAGGGGGGUGGAAUUCCGCGUGUAGCAGUGAAAUGCGUAGAUAUGCGGAGGAACACCGAUGGCGAAGGCAGCCCCCUGGGCCAAUACUGACGCUCAUGCACGAAAGCGUGGGGAGCAAACAGGAUUAGAUACCCGAGUAGUCCCUGUCUCUUAUAC